Molecule: ribosomal RNA, 434 nt
Filed under: uncultured bacterium
Lineage: Bacteria
Description: partial 16S ribosomal RNA
Rfam family: Bacterial small subunit ribosomal RNA
Source: RNAcentral
AGUGAACGCUGGCGGCAGGCCUAACACAUGCAAGUCGAACGAACCUACCGGGGGUAGUGGCGGAUGGGGGAGGCGCACGUCGGAACGUGCCUUUAGGCUCGGAAUAACUCUGGGACACGUGUGCUAACACCGAAUGUGCCCUUCGGGGGCAAGAUUAAUCGCACUUAGAGGGGCCCGUGUCUGCUUAGCUAGUUGAGUGAGGUAAAGGCUCACCCGGGCGACGUUCAGUAGCUGGUCAGGGAGGAAGAGCCGCCACUUUGGGACUGGGACACAGUCCAGACUCCUACGGGAUGCGGCAGUGGGUGAUCUUGCGCAAUCGGCGGAAUGCUGAAGCAGCCCUGGUGCGUGAAUGCUGUUGGUCUGAGAGUUGAAAAGUUCUUUCACCGGGGGCGGUAAUGACGGUACCCAGAGAAGAAGCCCCGGCUAACUUCGUG